RNAcentral lists this ribosomal RNA (497 nucleotides) under uncultured bacterium. RNAcentral describes it as "partial 16S ribosomal RNA". It matches the Rfam family "Bacterial small subunit ribosomal RNA", at positions 28 to 507 of the family's 1533-position model. The record is from RNAcentral.
GAUGAACGCUGGCGGCGUGCCUAAUACAUGCAAGUCGAGCGAACGGACGAGAAGCUUGCUUCUCUGAUGUUAGCGGCGGACGGGUGAGUAACACGUGGAUAACCUACCUAUAAGACUGGGAUAACUUCGGGAAACCGGAGCUAAUACCGGAUAAUAUUUUGAACCGCAUGGUUCAAAAGUGAAAGACGGUCUUGCUGUCACUUAUAGAUGGAUCCGCGCUGCAUUAGCUAGUUGGUAAGGUAACGGCUUACCAAGGCAACGAUGCAUAGCCGACCUGAGAGGGUGAUCGGCCACACUGGAACUGAGACACGGUCCAGACUCCUACGGGAGGCAGCAGUAGGGAAUCUUCCGCAAUGGGCGAAAGCCUGACGGAGCAACGCCGCGUGAGUGGUGAAGGUCUUCGGAUCGUAAAACUCUGUUAUUAGGGAAGAACAUAUGUGUAAGUAACUGUGCACAUCUUGACGGUACCUAAUCAGAAAGCCACGGUUAACUACGUG